AAUAUUGGACAAUGGGCGAAAGCCUGAUCCAGCCAUGCCGCGUGUGUGAAGAAGGUCUUCGGAUCGUAAAGCAUUUCAUGUCGGGAGGAAGGGCAGUAAGUUAAUACCUUGCUGUUUUGACUGUACCGACCUAAUAAACACCCGCCAACUUAGUGCCAGCAGCCGGGGUAAGACGAAGGGUGCAAGCGUUAAUCGGAAUUACUGGGCGUAAAGCGCGCGUAGGUGGUUUGUUAAGUUAGAAGUGAAAGCCCCGGGCUCAACCUGGGAACUGCUUCCAAAACUGGCAAACUAGAGUAUGGCAGAGGGUGGUGGAAUUUCCUGUGUAGCGGUGAAAUGCGUAGAUAUAGGAAGGAACACCAGUGGCGAAGGCGACCACCUGGGCUAAUACUGACACUGAGGUGCGAAAGCGUGGGGAGCAAAC
RNAcentral lists this ribosomal RNA (421 nucleotides) under uncultured bacterium. RNAcentral describes it as "partial 16S ribosomal RNA". It matches the Rfam family "Bacterial small subunit ribosomal RNA", at positions 360 to 773 of the family's 1533-position model. The record is from RNAcentral.